Molecule: ribosomal RNA, 253 nt
Filed under: uncultured bacterium
Lineage: Bacteria
Description: partial 16S ribosomal RNA
Rfam family: Bacterial small subunit ribosomal RNA
Source: RNAcentral
UACGUAGGGGGCAAGCGUUGUCCGGAUUUAUUGGGCGUAAAGCGCGCGCAGGCGGUCCUUUAAGUCUGAUGUGAAAGCCCACGGCUCAACCGUGGAGGGUCAUUGGAAACUGGGGGACUUGAGUGCAGAAGAGAAGAGUGGAAUUCCACGUGUAGCGGUGAAAUGCGUAGAGAUGUGGAGGAACACCAGUGGCGAAGGCGACUCUUUGGUCUGUAACUGACGCUGAGGCGCGAAAGCGUGGGGAGCAAACAGG